CUGUGACUCUGCAGAGUAAAUAGCAGCAGACUCAGUUCCCUUUCAGUCAGAAUGGGCCGUAACUGAGUUGAUAUUGUUUUCGAAGGAAACGAUGGAAAUAAUUCAUUUCGGGAUGGGACUGAAGAGGCGACUUGGCGUUCGCAACACUUUCAUCCUGCUGGUUUUGGGGAAUAUUGCGACUGUAAUAUGCAUUAAUGGCCAAAGUCUUGACUGUACCAACGACUUUGAUAAAACCAUGUUUUGCCACUUUGGAGGGGAAAACUGUACCGAAUACAGAAUGACUCUUGUGAAUGACAGCUGGUAUGGG
Molecule: long non-coding RNA, 307 nt
Organism: Cheilinus undulatus (humphead wrasse)
Lineage: Eukaryota; Metazoa; Chordata; Actinopteri; Labriformes; Labridae
Exons: 3
Source: RefSeq, a predicted model, not a curated record